This 460-nucleotide ribosomal RNA is filed under the name uncultured bacterium. RNAcentral's name for it is "partial 16S ribosomal RNA". It matches the Rfam family "Bacterial small subunit ribosomal RNA", at positions 338 to 795 of the family's 1533-position model. The record is from RNAcentral.
CCUACGGGUGGCAGCAGUGAGGAAUAUUGGUCAAUGGGCGAGAGCCUGAACCAGCCAAGUAGCGUGAAGGAUGACUGCCCUACGGGUUGUAAACUUCUUUUAUAUGGGAAUAAAGUGAGUCACGUGUGACUUAUUGUCUGUACCCUAUGAAUCAGCAUCGGCUAACUCCGUGCCAGCAGCCGCGGUAAUACGGAGGAUUCGAGCGUUAUCCGGAUUUAUUGGGUUUAAAGGGAGCGUAGGUGGUUUGAUAAGUCAGUUGUGAAAGUUUGAGGCUCAACCUUAUAAUUGCAUGUGAUACUGGUAGGCUAGAGAAUAGUUGAGGUAGGCGGAAUUCGUGGUGUAGCGGUGAAAUGCUUAGAGAUCACGAAGAACACCGAUUGCGAAGGCAGCUUACUAAGCUACUACUGACGUUGAUGCGCGAAAGCGUGGGGAGCAAACAGGAUUAGAUAGCCGAGUAGUC